This 353-nucleotide RNase P RNA is filed under the name Alphaproteobacteria bacterium. RNAcentral describes it as "RNase P RNA component class A". It matches the Rfam family "Bacterial RNase P class A". From Rfam's summary of the family: Ribonuclease P (RNase P) is a ubiquitous endoribonuclease, found in archaea, bacteria and eukarya as well as chloroplasts and mitochondria. Its best characterised activity is the generation of mature 5'-ends of tRNAs by cleaving the 5'-leader elements of precursor-tRNAs. Cellular RNase Ps are ribonucleoproteins. Lineage: Bacteria; Pseudomonadati; Pseudomonadota; Alphaproteobacteria. The record is from RNAcentral.
CCAGAGAGCCGGAUGGCCGCCUGUUUUUAACGGGAGGAAAGUCCGGGCUCCACGAAAACACGGUGCCGGAUAACGUCCGGCGCGGGUAACCGCAGGGACAGUGCCACAGAAAAUAUACCGCCUCUUUAUGGGGUAAGGGUGAAAUGGUGCGGUAAGAGCGCACCGCAGGCCCGGUAACGGGGCUGGCAGGGUAAACCCCACCGGGAGCAAGGCCAAAUAGGGAAGGCGCAUAAGCUGUUUUCGGCUUGUCUUCCGGGUCGGCUGCUAGAGGCAGCGGGUAACCGCCGCCCCAGAGGAAUGGUCAUCACGCCCUUAAAAGCGUACAGAACCCGGCUUACAGGCUCUCUGGCAUU